CCUACGGGGGGCAGCAGUGGGGAAUAUUGCACAAUGGGGGAAACCCUGAUGCAGCGACGCCGCGUGAGCGAUGAAGUAUUUCGGUAUGUAAAGCUCUAUCAGCAGGGAAGAAAAUGACGGUACCUGACUAAGAAGCCCCGGCUAACUACGGGCCAGCAGCCGCGGCAAUACGUAGGGGGCAAGCGUUAUCCGGAUUUACGGGGUGUAAAGGGAGCGUAGACGGCUGUGCAAGUCCGGUGUGAAAGCCCGGGGCUCAACCCCGGGACUGCAUUUGGAACUGUGUGGCUGGAGUGUCGGAGAGGCAGGCGGAAUUCCUAGUGUAGCGGUGAAAUGCGUAGAUAUUGGGAGGAACACCAGUGGCGAAGGCGGCCUGCUGGAUGAUGACUGACGUUGAGGCUCGAAAGCGUGGGGAGCAAACAGGAUUAGAUACCCCUGUAGUC
Molecule: ribosomal RNA, 440 nt
Filed under: uncultured bacterium
Lineage: Bacteria
Description: partial 16S ribosomal RNA
Rfam family: Bacterial small subunit ribosomal RNA
Source: RNAcentral